This 289-nucleotide unclassified non-coding RNA is filed under the name Hevea brasiliensis (rubber tree). The record is from RNAcentral. Lineage: Eukaryota; Viridiplantae; Streptophyta; Magnoliopsida; Malpighiales; Euphorbiaceae.
GAGAGUUUGCCUAGUUUAACAAGUUUUUUUUCUGGAAGUGACGUUUUGAGAUGUCCAUCCUUGAAUAAAGUUGAUAUAGUUGACUGUCCCAAGAUGUUGAAUCCGUUUCCACAGUAUCGGUGAAAUAUUACUGUAGCAUGAUUGUUAAGGGACGCAAAGAAGCUCCUUUCAAGCGCAAAUGUCAAGAGUGACAAUUGAUGAAGAAAAUUGAAGUCAUCCUUCAUUUGCAUUUUUGAAUAAAGCUGGAAUAAGGCAGAUGUUCAUUGUAAUUUGUGGCAUAUGUCAAACA